CAGUGGCCUGAUGGUUAGUGCGUUGGACUCCGGAUCGAGAGGUCCGGGUUCGAUCCUGGCCGGGGUCAUGU
Molecule: transfer RNA, 71 nt
Filed under: Desmophyllum pertusum
Lineage: Eukaryota; Metazoa; Cnidaria; Anthozoa; Scleractinia; Caryophylliidae
Description: tRNA-Arg
Source: RNAcentral